GCGACAGGCCUAACACAUGCAAGUCAGGGGCAGCACAAGGAGCAAUCUGAGGUGGCGACCGGCGCACGGGUGAGUAACACGUAUGCAACCUGCCUGUAAGCGGGGAAUAACCCGUUGAAAGACGGACUAAUACCGCAUAAUACUAAAUUACUGCAUGGUAAUUUAUUUAAACAUUUAUGGCUUACAGAUGGGCAUGCGCAUGAUUAGCUAGUUGGAGAGGUAACGGCUCCCCAAGGCAACGAUCAUUAGGGGUUCUGAGAGGAAGGUCCCCCACACUGGUACUGAGACACGGACCAGACUCCUACGGGAGGCAGCAGUGAGGAAUAUUGGUCAAUGGACGAGAGUCUGAACCAGCCAAGUCGCGUGCAGGAAGAAUGUCCUUAAUGGAUUGUAAACUGCUUUUGCAGGGGGAAUAAAGUGCAUCACGUGUGAUGUUUUGUAUGUACUCUGCGAAUAAGGAUCGGCUAACUCCGUGCCAGCAGCUGC
RNAcentral lists this ribosomal RNA (486 nucleotides) under uncultured bacterium. RNAcentral's name for it is "bacterial SSU rRNA". It matches the Rfam family "Bacterial small subunit ribosomal RNA", at positions 39 to 518 of the family's 1533-position model. The record is from RNAcentral.